RNAcentral lists this long non-coding RNA (367 nucleotides) under Helianthus annuus (common sunflower). RNAcentral describes it as "hypothetical non coding rna". Lineage: Eukaryota; Viridiplantae; Streptophyta; Magnoliopsida; Asterales; Asteraceae. The record is from RNAcentral.
UUGUGGGCUUGAUCUUAAUGCUUCAUAAACUUCUUUCACAAACAACUGACCAUCUGACACAUCAUGCGAAGGGUGAUCGUCGUUUCCCGGUAUAGCUUUGAUCCCAAAAUAUCUUUGUUCGACAACAACGUAGUUUGGUAGCUUCCCUUCCUUGCAAUGUCGUUUGAAGUGUAGAUCGAAUUGGUAGAAGUUGUCUAUGUACUUCAGUUUUCGUAGAAAAGAGUUGAUGGAGGUAACUGAUAGUAAAUUCCGAAAGAAAAACCAUUAUCUUCCACCGACUCAAAUAUAGUCUUCUGAGGGUACCCUUCUAUCAUCAUCUUGUUAUCAUUCGUCGUUGCACCAUAUGAAGUCGCAGAGUGAACAUACA